RNAcentral lists this ribosomal RNA (1341 nucleotides) under Laribacter hongkongensis. Its description in RNAcentral is "partial 23S ribosomal RNA". It matches the Rfam family "Bacterial large subunit ribosomal RNA", at positions 1 to 1387 of the family's 2925-position model. The record is from RNAcentral. Lineage: Bacteria; Pseudomonadati; Pseudomonadota; Betaproteobacteria; Neisseriales; Aquaspirillaceae.
GAUCAAGCGACUAAGUGCAUCUGGUGGAUGCCUUGGCGAUCAUAGGCGAUGAAGGACGUGUAAGCCUGCGAAAAGCGCGGGGGAGCUGGCAAUAGAGCAUUGAUCCCGCGAUGUCCGAAUGGGGAAACCCACCUCUUUUGAGGUAUCCCUGGCUGAAUCCAUAGGCCAGCGGAGGCGAACCCGGCGAACUGAAACAUCUAAGUAGCCGGAGGAAAAGAAAUCAACCGAGAUUCCGCAAGUAGUGGCGAGCGAACGCGGAAGAGCCUGUACGUGAUAGCAGUCGUGUUAGAAGAACGGUCUGGAAAGGCCGGCCAUAGUGGGUGAUAGCCCCGUAUUCGAAAACACAAUUGUGGUACUGAGCGUACGAGAAGUAGGGCGGGACACGUGAAAUCCUGUCUGAAGAUGGGGGGACCAUCCUCCAAGGCUAAAUACUCAUGAUCGACCGAUAGUGAACCAGUACCGUGAGGGAAAGGCGAAAAGAACCCCGGGAGGGGAGUGAAACAGAACCUGAAACCGGAUGCAUACAAACAGUGGGAGCCUGGAAACGGGUGACUGCGUACCUUUUGUAUAAUGGGUCAGCGACUUACAUUCAGUAGCGAGCUUAACCAGAUAGGGGAGGCGUAGCGAAAGCGAGUCCGAACAGGGCGUUGAGUUGCUGGGUGUAGACCCGAAACCGGAUGAUCUAUCCAUGGCCAGGAUGAAGGUGCGGUAACACGCACUGGAGGUCCGAACCCACGUCUGUUGCAAAAGACGGGGAUGAGCUGUGGAUAGGGGUGAAAGGCUAAACAAAUCCGGAAAUAGCUGGUUCUCUCCGAAAACUAUUUAGGUAGUGCCUCGAGAUUACACUGACGGGGGUAGAGCACUGUUAUGGCUAGGGGGUCAUUGCGAUUUACCAACCCAUGGCAAACUCCGAAUACCGUCAAGUGCGUCCUCGGGAGACAGACAGCGGGUGCUAACGUCCGUUGUCAAGAGGGAAACAACCCAGACCGCCAGCUAAGGUCCCAAAUGACAUGCUAAGUGGUAAACGAAGUGGGAAGGCCAAGACAGCCAGGAUGUUGGCUUAGAAGCAGCCAUCAUUCAAAGAAAGCGUAAUAGCUCACUGGUCGAGUCGUCCUGCGCGGAAGAUGUAACGGGGCUCAAGCAUGUAACCGAAGCUGCGGAUGCGUACUUGUACGCAUGGUAGGAGAGCGUUCUGUAGGCCUGCGAAGGUGGUGGUGUAAACCCUGCUGGAGGUAUCAGAAGUGCGAAUGCUGACAUGAGUAGCGAUAAAGCGGGUGAAAGUCCCGCUCGCCGAAAACCCAAGGUUUCCUACGCAACGUUCAUCGGCGUAGGGUGAGUCGG